AGAUUUCAGUACUUCUGCUGCAUCAAGAUUAGUCUCUCCUCCACAAACUCCCCCAGCAGUGUCUCUCCUCGUCCCCCCAGUGCUUGUGAUUGUUUUGGGAGUUGUGCUCUUACUGCUCUUAGUGCCACUGCUUAUACUGAUUCAGCAGAACAGAGGGAUGAGGAGAGCUCUCUCUAAGAGGAGACACAGGACUACACAGGACACAGACUGAUGCUGUUUACCAUGAGAUUUAUCACAGACAGCAUCACUUCACUCAGAGGGAGGGAGAUCAGUAGGAGGAUGAUGAUGUGAAGAACACAAUGAAGAUGAGAAAAACCUAGACUAUGAUGAUGUGGGGGAGGAGUCAUAUAAAGAGGGAGGGGCCACAUGACUCAGUGACCACACCCACUAUCUCUGUUCAUGAAAUCAUAUUAGUUACUGGAGCUACUGGGACUUUCUCAUAUUGCUACUAAUGAUUCAAUGCCUUUGUAUGUUAUUUAAUUUUUUUUUUAAUAAAAAUGUACAUGCUUUGCAAAAUUUGGUAACAACAAAUUUUAGUAUUUGUACAUCA
Long non-coding RNA from Cyprinus carpio (common carp), 550 nucleotides. RefSeq lists it as uncharacterized. Lineage: Eukaryota; Metazoa; Chordata; Actinopteri; Cypriniformes; Cyprinidae. The record is from RefSeq and is a predicted model, not a curated record. The transcript is spliced from 4 exons.